This 438-nucleotide ribosomal RNA is filed under the name uncultured bacterium. RNAcentral's name for it is "partial 16S ribosomal RNA". It matches the Rfam family "Bacterial small subunit ribosomal RNA", at positions 338 to 794 of the family's 1533-position model. The record is from RNAcentral.
CCUACGGGAGGCAGCAGUGAGGAAUUUUCCGCAAUGGGCGAAAGCCUGACGGAGCGACGCCGUGUGUGCGAUGAAGUCCUUCGGGAUGUAAAGCACUGUCAGAGGGGACGAUAAUGACGGUACCCUCAGAGGAAGGCCCGGCUAACUACGUGCCAGCAGCCGCGGUAAUACGUAGGGGCCAAGCGUUGUCCGGAAUCAUUGGGCGUAAAGGGCGUGUAGGCGGUCUGAUAAGUCAGAUGUUAAAUCUACGAGCUAAACUCGUAGCCGCAUCUGAUACUGUCAGGCUAGAGAAUGGUAGAGGAAAGCGGAACUUCCGGCGUAGCGGUAAAAUGCGUAGAUAUCGGGAGGAACACUCAUGGCGAAGGCAGCUUCCUGGGCCAGCACUGACACUGAGGCGCGAAAGCGUGGGGAGCAAACAGGAUUAGAUACCCUGGUAGU